UACGUAGGGGGCAAGCGUUAUCCGGAUUUACUGGGUGUAAAGGGCGUGUAGCCGGGUUGACAAGUCAGAUGUGAAAUCCUGCGGCUUAACCGCAGAACUGCAUUUGAAACUGUUGAUCUUGAGUACUGGAGAGGCAGACGGAAUUCCUAGUGUAGCGGUGAAAUGCGUAGAUAUUAGGAGGAACACCAGUAGCGAAGGCGGCCUGCUGGGCUUUAACUGACGCUGAGGCUCGAAAGCGUGGGUAGCAAACAGG
RNAcentral lists this ribosomal RNA (253 nucleotides) under uncultured bacterium. Its description in RNAcentral is "partial 16S ribosomal RNA". It matches the Rfam family "Bacterial small subunit ribosomal RNA", at positions 524 to 776 of the family's 1533-position model. The record is from RNAcentral.